This 1528-nucleotide ribosomal RNA is filed under the name Klebsiella pneumoniae. Its description in RNAcentral is "bacterial SSU rRNA". It matches the Rfam family "Bacterial small subunit ribosomal RNA". Lineage: Bacteria; Pseudomonadati; Pseudomonadota; Gammaproteobacteria; Enterobacterales; Enterobacteriaceae. The record is from RNAcentral.
AGAGUUUGAUCAUGGCUCAGAUUGAACGCUGGCGGCAGGCCUAACACAUGCAAGUCGAGCGGUAGCACAGAGAGCUUGCUCUCGGGUGACGAGCGGCGGACGGGUGAGUAAUGUCUGGGAAACUGCCUGAUGGAGGGGGAUAACUACUGGAAACGGUAGCUAAUACCGCAUAAUGUCGCAAGACCAAAGUGGGGGACCUUCGGGCCUCAUGCCAUCAGAUGUGCCCAGAUGGGAUUAGCUAGUAGGUGGGGUAACGGCUCACCUAGGCGACGAUCCCUAGCUGGUCUGAGAGGAUGACCAGCCACACUGGAACUGAGACACGGUCCAGACUCCUACGGGAGGCAGCAGUGGGGAAUAUUGCACAAUGGGCGCAAGCCUGAUGCAGCCAUGCCGCGUGUGUGAAGAAGGCCUUCGGGUUGUAAAGCACUUUCAGCGGGGAGGAAGGCGUUAAGGUUAAUAACCUUGGCGAUUGACGUUACCCGCAGAAGAAGCACCGGCUAACUCCGUGCCAGCAGCCGCGGUAAUACGGAGGGUGCAAGCGUUAAUCGGAAUUACUGGGCGUAAAGCGCACGCAGGCGGUCUGUCAAGUCGGAUGUGAAAUCCCCGGGCUCAACCUGGGAACUGCAUUCGAAACUGGCAGGCUAGAGUCUUGUAGAGGGGGGUAGAAUUCCAGGUGUAGCGGUGAAAUGCGUAGAGAUCUGGAGGAAUACCGGUGGCGAAGGCGGCCCCCUGGACAAAGACUGACGCUCAGGUGCGAAAGCGUGGGGAGCAAACAGGAUUAGAUACCCUGGUAGUCCACGCCGUAAACGAUGUCGAUUUGGAGGUUGUGCCCUUGAGGCGUGGCUUCCGGAGCUAACGCGUUAAAUCGACCGCCUGGGGAGUACGGCCGCAAGGUUAAAACUCAAAUGAAUUGACGGGGGCCCGCACAAGCGGUGGAGCAUGUGGUUUAAUUCGAUGCAACGCGAAGAACCUUACCUGGUCUUGACAUCCACAGAACUUUCCAGAGAUGGAUUGGUGCCUUCGGGAACUGUGAGACAGGUGCUGCAUGGCUGUCGUCAGCUCGUGUUGUGAAAUGUUGGGUUAAGUCCCGCAACGAGCGCAACCCUUAUCCUUUGUUGCCAGCGGUUCGGCCGGGAACUCAAAGGAGACUGCCAGUGAUAAACUGGAGGAAGGUGGGGAUGACGUCAAGUCAUCAUGGCCCUUACGACCAGGGCUACACACGUGCUACAAUGGCAUAUACAAAGAGAAGCGACCUCGCGAGAGCAAGCGGACCUCAUAAAGUAUGUCGUAGUCCGGAUUGGAGUCUGCAACUCGACUCCAUGAAGUCGGAAUCGCUAGUAAUCGUAGAUCAGAAUGCUACGGUGAAUACGUUCCCGGGCCUUGUACACACCGCCCGUCACACCAUGGAAGUGGGUUGCAAAAGAAGUAGGUAGCUUAACCUUCGGGAGGGCGCUUACCACUUUGUGAUUCAUGACUGGGGUGAAGUCGUAACAAGGUAACCGUAGGGGAACCUGCGGUUGGAUCACCU